This 809-nucleotide long non-coding RNA is filed under the name Mus musculus (house mouse). RNAcentral describes it as "long non-coding RNA chr1:165585182-165585991". Lineage: Eukaryota; Metazoa; Chordata; Mammalia; Rodentia; Muridae. The record is from RNAcentral.
GCCGCUUUCCUUUGCUAUAUUACCCUACAGCUCAGCCUGGAACUUUGUAGUCAGACUGAUCCUCAAACUCCAAGAAAUUCCCCUGCCUCGGUCUCCUGAGCGCUGGGCUUAUCAUGCAUGGGCUGUCUCACCUGGCUGUCCCCGAGUCACUCAUAUUGUCAGUGCUACUGAACAUCUUUCUAAACCUUACUCCCAUGGCUCUCAUCUUUGUCCUCACCGCUGCUAAAAAUCCAGUUCCUUUACGCCUAACCCAGUUCUGCCCUAAGUCACGUUAUUAAUCGCUUCCCCAAUAUCUGAUUUCCAUCCUUUACCUGUGUAACUGGCAGGGUAAGCGUCCCAACGAACAAACAAAUCCCUGUGCUGGUCUAUGAUGAAAUUCCGAAGCCUGUAUCAUAAGGCUUCCUUCCAAGGCCUUUUCCUAAAUGCAGGGCGUGGGGUGUGUAGACUUUGCGCUAAUUCUGCCACCUGGAACAGCCCUUAAUCAGGGUUUUGGGCUCCUCUCCACCUCUUCAAGCUCUUGUCUCCAAGCUCUCUUUGGCCAGCACAGGAAGUCCCAGCCCAGCCGGGAGUCUGUGCUCUUUAAGGCUCACUUCACUACUGCGGUGGACUGCUCUGGGCUCUUUCCUCCAGGAACUCCUCGAGGGCUGGGCUCUCUGGAUGGGAGGGGAUUCUGCCACGUUCAGCUUUGUAUCUCCAGCACUUAGUAUCAGGUCAAGCACCAGGAGGCCUUGGGCAAGUUCUGUCUUGCUCACAGUUGCUUCAGAGCACUUUACAGCACAGGCAGCAGGCAUGCAGGGUGAGCAAAGGAG